Molecule: ribosomal RNA, 466 nt
Filed under: uncultured bacterium
Lineage: Bacteria
Description: partial 16S ribosomal RNA
Rfam family: Bacterial small subunit ribosomal RNA
Source: RNAcentral
CGAACGCUGGCGGCGGGCUUAACACAUGCAAGUCGAACGGAAAAGGCCUGCUUUUUUGGGGUGCUCGAGUGGCGAAAGGGGGAGUAACACGUGAGUAAACUGCCCCUGACUUUGGGAUAAAUUCAGGGAAAUGGGGGUAAUACCGGAAAAGGGGUCCUGCCGCCUGGGGGGGGGUGGAAAGUUUUGGCGGGUGGGGAUGGACUCGCGGCUUAUCAGCUUGUUGGUGGGGUAGUGGCUUACCAAGGCUUUGACGGGUAGCCGGCCUGAGAGGGUGACCGGCCACAUUGGGACUGAGAUACGGCCCAGACUCCUACGGGAGGCAGCAGUGGGGAAUAUUGCACAAUGGGCGGAAGCCUGAUGCAGCAACGCCGCGUGCGGGAUGACGGCCUUCGGGUUGUAAACCGCUUUCGCCUGUGACGAAGCGUGAGUGACGGUAAUGGGUAAAGAAGCACCGGCUAACUACGUG